Molecule: ribosomal RNA, 233 nt
Filed under: uncultured bacterium
Lineage: Bacteria
Description: partial 16S ribosomal RNA
Rfam family: Bacterial small subunit ribosomal RNA
Source: RNAcentral
CGGGACGGGUGAGUAAUGUCUGGGAAACUGCCUGAUGGAGGGGGGUAACUACUGGAAACGGUAGCUAAUACCGCAUAACGUCGCAAGACCAAAGAGGGGGACCUUCGGGCCUCUUGCCAUCGGAUGUGCCCAGAUGGGAUUAGCUAGUAGGUGGGGUAACGGCUCACCCAGGCGACGAUCCCUAGCUGGUCUGAGAGGAUGACCAGCCACACUGGAACUGAGACACGGUCCAG